AUACGAAGGGGGCUAGCGUUGUUCGGAAUCACUGGGCGUAAAGCGCGCGUAGGUGGAUCAAUUAGUUGAGGGCGAAAUCCCGGGGCUCAACCUCGGAACUGCCUUCAAUACUGUUGAUCUUGAGACCGAGAGAGGUGAGUGGAAUUCCUAGUGUAGAGGUGAAAUUCGUAGAUAUUAGGAAGAACACCAGUGGCGAAGGCGGCUCACUGGCUCGGUACUGACGCUGAGGUGCGAAAGCGUGGGGAGCAAACAGGAUUAGAAACCCUAGUAGUCC
This 274-nucleotide ribosomal RNA is filed under the name uncultured bacterium. Its description in RNAcentral is "partial 16S ribosomal RNA". It matches the Rfam family "Bacterial small subunit ribosomal RNA", at positions 523 to 796 of the family's 1533-position model. The record is from RNAcentral.